AGAGUUUGAUCCUGGCUCAGGACGAACGCUGGCGGCGUGCCUAAUACAUGCAAGUCGAGCGGACAGAUGGGAGCUUGCUCCCUGAUGUUAGCGGCGGACGGGUGAGUAACACGUGGGUAACCUGCCUGUAAGACUGGGAUAACUCCGGGAAACCGGGGCUAAUACCGGAUGGUUGUUUGAACCGCAUGGUUCAAACAUAAAAGGUGGCUUCGGCUACCACUUACAGAUGGACCCGCGGCGCAUUAGCUAGUUGGUGAGGUAACGGCUCACCAAGGCAACGAUGCGUAGCCGACCUGAGAGGGUGAUCGGCCACACUGGGACUGAGACACGGCCCAGACUCCUACGGGAGGCAGCAGUAGGGAAUCUUCCGCAAUGGACGAAAGUCUGACGGAGCAACGCCGCGUGAGUGAUGAAGGUUUUCGGAUCGUAAAGCUCUGUUGUUAGGGAAGAACAAGUACCGUUCGAAUAGGGCGGUACCUUGACGGUACCUAACCAGAAAGCCACGGCUAACUACGUGCCAGCAGCCGCGGUAAUACGUAGGUGGCAAGCGUUGUCCGGAAUUAUUGGGCGUAAAGGGCUCGCAGGCGGUUUCUUAAGUCUGAUGUGAAAGCCCCCGGCUCAACCGGGGAGGGUCAUUGGAAACUGGGGAACUUGAGUGCAGAAGAGGAGAGUGGAAUCCCACGUGUAGCGGUGAAAUGCGUAGAGAUGUGGAGGAACACCAGUGGCGAAGGCGACUCUCUGGUCUGUAACUGACGCUGAGGAGCGAAAGCGUGGGGAGCGAACAGGAUUAGAUACCCUGGUAGUCCACGCCGUAAACGAUGAGUGCUAAGUGUUAGGGGGUUUCCGCCCCUUAGUGCUGCAGCUAACGCAUUAAGCACUCCGCCUGGGGAGUACGGUCGCAAGACUGAAACUCAAAGGAAUUGACGGGGGCCCGCACAAGCGGUGGAGCAUGUAGUUUAAUUCGAAGCAACGCGAAGAACCUUACCAGGUCUUGACAUCCUCUGACAAUCCUAGAGAUAGGACGUCCCCUUCGGGGGCAGAGUGACAGGUGGUGCAUGGUUGUCGUCAGCUCGUGUCGUGAGAUGUUGGGUUAAGUCCCGCAACGAGCGCAACCCUUGAUCUUAGUUGCCAGCAUUCAGUUGGGCACUCUAAGGUGACUGCCGGUGACAAACCGGAGGAAGGUGGGGAUGACGUCAAAUCAUCAUGCCCCUUAUGACCUGGGCUACACACGUGCUACAAUGGACAGAACAAAGGGCAGCGAAACCGCGAGGUUAAGCCAAUCCCACAAAUCUGUUCUCAGUUCGGAUCGCAGUCUGCAACUCGACUGCGUGAAGCUGGAAUCGCUAGUAAUCGCGGAUCAGCAUGCCGCGGUGAAUACGUUCCCGGGCCUUGUACACACCGCCCGUCACACCACGAGAGUUUGUAACACCCGAAGUCGGUGAGGUAACCUUUUAGGAGCCAGCCGCCGAAGGUGGGACAGAUGAUGGGGGAAGUCGUACAAGGAGCCGU
Molecule: ribosomal RNA, 1509 nt
Filed under: Bacillus subtilis
Lineage: Bacteria; Bacillati; Bacillota; Bacilli; Caryophanales; Bacillaceae
Description: bacterial SSU rRNA
Rfam family: Bacterial small subunit ribosomal RNA
Source: RNAcentral